CCUUUCUUCUGUUCUUUCUUUUCCUUCCUGCUGCUGCAGAGAUGGCGCCUAGAAAGCUUUUGUGUUUAGCACACUGAAGCUCGGAGGGGUGGCGAGGCCUUGGCUGCUGACCCCAGCCCCUGCCUAAUUGGCCCCUGCAGGAGCCAGGACAGCUAAUUGAGCAGGGUCUGGACAAUGGGGCUGGGGGUGGGGCUGGCUUGGGGGAGGGGCUUCCUAGAGAGGCUCUGUUUUUCCUUUCCCAUUUCCCUUCCCAGGCCUCCCAGAACCCGGCCAACCUUCAGGGCUCCACUCUGGGCCCUCCACCUCCAGGAAGAUCCCCUGGGCUACCUCUACCCAGCCAUCAAUCACUCCUUCUCAGAGAGAGCUGCACUCCUGCCCUGCCCACCCACCAUUUAAUCAAGGCGCCGAGAUGGACAGUGAUACCAGGCAGCAAGAGCCAUCUCACUAAGGAGCAGAGUCAGGAGGCCGUCCUUCCUCCACCUGCCUUGUCUGCCGGGAUGAAAGAGAAAUCAUCAAUACCCACCUCCUGACACACACUCCACACAGGGGGAGGCUGAGACCCUGAGAGGGAAGGAGGUCAGCCAGGGUGGCCCCCCCAAGUCACGGCAGAAUAGAAACUGGACCUUAGGUCUCUGGAUACCCUUCCUA
Molecule: long non-coding RNA, 648 nt
Organism: Phacochoerus africanus (Common warthog)
Lineage: Eukaryota; Metazoa; Chordata; Mammalia; Artiodactyla; Suidae
Exons: 2
Source: RefSeq, a predicted model, not a curated record